AAAGCGGACGAUCAGGCCGAACCCAGAGCGUGCAUGCUCCCUUCGUGUCCCUUGUCCUAAGUUAAUGAGUAAACUUUGGUUAGGACGUUUGGCUUGUGAUAUUUCGGUGGCGGACACCCAACGUCUUAUCCUUCACUUAAACUUAAUCCUGCAGACCCAGCACCGGGGCAGGUUAGCCUUUUCUUCUCCAAGCUCACCCGCCCUCGCCCCUAUAAACUACCAAUGGACAUCCUCUGUGUUGGUCACUGGGAAGCACUGAAGGCUCGAAGGUGAUCUUUGAAAUAGCAUGGAGGAUUGCAACGCGUGGACUGCACAGCCUCUCUCUUCUGACGACAUGCCCAGCUGUAUCACAGAGGAGAGUGUUAAGUCAGAACGGCGAUCUCCAUGACGACGGAGGGGAGCGGCUACCAAAAUGACCUUCCAAAGGACGGCCACCUCUGAAUGCUGUGAUACAGUGGUAACAUGGGAAAAUAAAGUCUAGCUAUUAGGAAUGAACUCUGUGAGGAGAAAGGAACCUUUAUUUAGGAAUUGUGUGAGAGAAAAGAGAGGUACAAGGAAAAUACAUUUCGAAGAUCUAACGACCACCACUUAUCUUAUCUCAAGACAAUAUUCAACUCUGUCAAAAUCCUAACAGUAAAGGAAAAAGAAAGCCUUCAACGAAUUCCCAUUUUACUUAAAAGCUCCAAAUACUCAAGUUACAAUCUAUAGACCACAUGAAGCUCAAGAAGAAGGAAGACCAAAGUGUGGGUGCUUCAGUCCUUCUUAGAAGGAAAACAAAAUACUUACAGGAGCAAAUAUGGAGACACAGUGUGGAGUAGAGACUGAAGGAAAGGCCAUCCAGAGACUGCCUCACCUGGGGAUUCAUUCUAUAUACAGUUACCAAACCCAAACACUUUCGUGGAUGCCAAGAAGUACAUGCUGACAGGAGCCUGAUAUGGCUGUCUCCUGAGAGGCCCUGCCAGAGCCUGACAAAUACAGAGGUGGAUGUUUGCAGCCAACCAUUGGAAUAAGCAUGGGGUCCCCAUAGAGGAGUUACAGAGAGGACUGAAGGAGCUGAAGGUGUUUGCAACCCCAUAGGAAGAACAAUAUCAACCAACCAGACACCCACCCACCCCAGAGUUCCCAGGGACUAAGCCACCAACCAAGGAGUACACAUGGCUGCAGCUGCAUAUGUAGCAGAGGAUGGCCUUGUCAGGCAUCAAUGGGAGGAGAGGUCUUUGGUCCUACGAAGGCUCUAUAGAUGCCCCAGUGUAGGGAAAUCAAGGGUGGGGAGGUGGGAAUGGGUAGGUGGGUGGAGGAGCACCCUCAUAGAAGCAGGGGGAGGGAGGAUGUGAUGGGGGUUUGUGUGUGGGGGACUGGGAAAGGGGAUAACAUUUGAAAUGUCAAUAAAGAAAAUGUCCAAUUAAAAAAAAACAAGCCGGGCA
This 1424-nucleotide long non-coding RNA is filed under the name Mus musculus (house mouse). RNAcentral's name for it is "RIKEN cDNA B130034C11 gene". Lineage: Eukaryota; Metazoa; Chordata; Mammalia; Rodentia; Muridae. The record is from RNAcentral.